UGGGGAGGCGAGUGAGGAUCGCGGCGUCGGCCAUGUGCCGGUGUCGAGGAAAGUCCGAGCUCCGCAGGGCAGGGUGCCGGGUAACGCCCGGGCGCCGGAAGGCGACGGAAAGUGCCACAGAAAGCAAACCGCCGAUGGCCGGCAUUUAGCCGGUACAGGUAAGGGUGAAAGGGUGCGGUAAGAGCGCACCGCGCGGCUGGCAACAGCCGUGGCACGGUAAACCCCACCCGGAGCAAGGCCAAAUAGGGGACGAGGGGCGCCCGCCCCGCGGAGGUCAACCUCCACAGUCCCGGGUAGGCUGCUUGAGGCCGUCGGCAACGGCGGUCCCAGAGAAAUGAUCCCCUCCGCUGCGGCGGAGACAGAACUCGGCUUAUUCCGCCUUCCCAUCGC
RNAcentral lists this RNase P RNA (390 nucleotides) under Gemmatimonadota bacterium. RNAcentral's name for it is "RNase P RNA component class A". It matches the Rfam family "Bacterial RNase P class A". Rfam says of the family: Ribonuclease P (RNase P) is a ubiquitous endoribonuclease, found in archaea, bacteria and eukarya as well as chloroplasts and mitochondria. Its best characterised activity is the generation of mature 5'-ends of tRNAs by cleaving the 5'-leader elements of precursor-tRNAs. Cellular RNase Ps are ribonucleoproteins. The record is from RNAcentral. Lineage: Bacteria; Pseudomonadati; Gemmatimonadota.